GUACUACCGACGAUACAUCACUCCACAUGUAAUUAAUGUCGGACAAAAAUGGUUCUGUCCAGAAAUUGCUACUUUCUGCCUCGUAGGCUUCUAACAAGGUAUCGGUAUGGAUAUCGGUCUUGGUAUUGGUUGUGGUACUAUUAUCGUCUGAACCCGAGUCUAAUUUGCUUGUUACAACUGUGUUAUCUGUAGUGAUGGAGGAGUUUUGAUCGCUUGAGGCUGGUUGUUGAGAUGAGAGUGAGCUUUCAAGUAUCAAAGGAGGAUUUGGGGAACUUAUUAGAAGAUGAUCAACGUCGUUUAGCUUUGUUUCUUCUUUCUCUCGACUUGUC
This 329-nucleotide long non-coding RNA is filed under the name Gossypium barbadense (sea-island cotton). Its description in RNAcentral is "long non-coding RNA (GBAR_LNC014534)". Lineage: Eukaryota; Viridiplantae; Streptophyta; Magnoliopsida; Malvales; Malvaceae. The record is from RNAcentral.